UUAAUUGAAACCAAAAAGAGGUAAAUUAUUGUUAAUAAUUAAAAUGAGUUACAAAACUCCAAUUAAA
RNAcentral lists this transfer RNA (67 nucleotides) under Syrista sp. 1 GYN-2021c. RNAcentral's name for it is "tRNA-Asn". The record is from RNAcentral. Lineage: Eukaryota; Metazoa; Arthropoda; Insecta; Hymenoptera; Cephidae.